CUUAUAUUCUUUAUUAUUUGUUUUAACUAAGCUGUAGUUAAACUAAAUAGUUGUAAAAUUUAAGCGAUUUCUGCAUUUUUUUUUCUCUGGGAUUACCUCUAUUUCUCCUAUCAGUUCAUCAGAAAAAAGUACAAAAACGGUAGCUUUUUUCGAAGGCAGAUUAAAGUUAAAUGAACAGUAACCCCAUUUUAUAUGUUAUUUUUCAAAUUAGUAUAUGCAUGAUCAAGUUCAUUUAUAGAAGAAAAAAUAGCGAAAUCCUCUCUCUUAAAAAAUAGAUGUAUACCCUCGAGCCCC
This 294-nucleotide long non-coding RNA is filed under the name Mytilus galloprovincialis (Mediterranean mussel). Lineage: Eukaryota; Metazoa; Mollusca; Bivalvia; Mytilida; Mytilidae. The record is from RNAcentral.